UUGGAAUGAUGGGAAUUUAAACCUCUUCCAGAGUAUCAAUUGGAGGGCAAGUCUGGUGCCAGCAGCCGCGGUAAUUCCAGCUCCAAUAGCGUAUAUUAAAAUUGUUGCAGUUAAAAAGCUCGUAGUUGAAUUUCUGCUGCAUUGCUUUUGCUCCUUUACGAGUCUUUGCAUUGUGGCUUAUUUCGGACUUUGUUUUACAAUGUCCGGAUGUUUACUUUGAGAAAAUUAGAGUGCUCAAAGCAGGCUUUCGCCUUGAAUAGUUUAGCAUGGAAUAAUAAAGUAGGACUUUGGUUCUAUUUUGUUGGUUUUAGGUACCAAAGUAAUGGUUAAUAGGAACAGUUGGGGGCAUUCGUAUUUAACUGUCAGAGGUGAAAUUC
This 377-nucleotide ribosomal RNA is filed under the name Theileria ovis. RNAcentral's name for it is "SSU rRNA". It matches the Rfam family "Eukaryotic small subunit ribosomal RNA", at positions 509 to 919 of the family's 1831-position model. Lineage: Eukaryota; Apicomplexa; Aconoidasida; Piroplasmida; Theileriidae. The record is from RNAcentral.